AAGCAGCCAUUCAUUUAAAGAGUGCGUAACAGCUCACUAGUCGAGGAGUUUGGCGUGGAUAAUAAUCGGGCAUAAGUAUUCUACCGAAGCUUUGGGAUGAGAAAUCAUCGGUAGGGGAGCAUUCCACUCGGCGUCGAAGGUGAAGCGCGAGCUUUGCUGGAGCGUGUGGAAAAGCAAAUGUAGGUAUAAGUAACGAUAAAGGGGGUGGGAAACCCCCUCGCCGAAAGACUAAGGUUUCCUGAUCAACGCUAAUCGGAUCAGGGUAAGUCGGGUCCUAAGGCUCAGCCGAACGGCGAGGCCGAUGGCAGAACCGGUUAAUAUUCCGGUACUACCUGUGGGAGUGACGUGGAGACGGAGUCGUGACAGCGCCGCGGACUGACGGAAUAGUCCGUUGAAGGGUGUAGAUGCUGAUUGUUCCAGGCAAAUCCGGAGCAAGAGUCGAACCUGAUAGUAUGGAGCGUUCUUAGAACAAUCCAAUAGUGCGUGUAAUCAUACUUCCAAGAAAAUCCGCUAAACUUAAUCCUGCAGGUACCCGUACCGCAAACGGACACACGUAGUCGGGUUGAAUAUACUAAGGCGCUUGAGUGA
This 588-nucleotide ribosomal RNA is filed under the name Bacteroides uniformis. RNAcentral describes it as "bacterial LSU rRNA". It matches the Rfam family "Bacterial large subunit ribosomal RNA", at positions 1110 to 1697 of the family's 2925-position model. Lineage: Bacteria; Pseudomonadati; Bacteroidota; Bacteroidia; Bacteroidales; Bacteroidaceae. The record is from RNAcentral.